This 497-nucleotide ribosomal RNA is filed under the name uncultured bacterium. Its description in RNAcentral is "partial 16S ribosomal RNA". It matches the Rfam family "Bacterial small subunit ribosomal RNA", at positions 28 to 507 of the family's 1533-position model. The record is from RNAcentral.
GACGAACGCUGGCGGCGUGCCUAAUACAUGCAAGUUGAGCGAUGAAGAUUGGUGCUUGCACCAAUUUGAAGAGCAGCGAACGGGUGAGUAACGCGUGGGGAAUCUGCCUUUGAGCGGGGGACAACAUUUGGGAACGAAUGCUAAUACCGCAUAACAACUUUAAACAUAAGUUUUAAGUUUGAAAGAUGCAAUUGCAUCACUCAAAGAUGAUCCCGCGUUGUAUUAGCUAGUUGGUGAGGUAAAGGCUCACCAAGGCGGUGAUACAUAGCCGACCUGAGAGGGUGAUCGGCCACAUUGGGACUGAGACACGGCCCAAACUCCUACGGGAGGCAGCAGUAGGGAAUCUUCGGCAAUGGACGAAAGUCUGACCGAGCAACGCCGCGUGAGUGAAGAAGGUUUUCGGAUCGUAAAACUCUGUUGGUAGAGAAGAACGUUGGUGAGAGUGGAAAGCUCAUCAAGUGACGGUAACUACCCAGAAAGGGACGGCUAACUACGUG